RNAcentral lists this ribosomal RNA (253 nucleotides) under uncultured bacterium. RNAcentral's name for it is "partial 16S ribosomal RNA". It matches the Rfam family "Bacterial small subunit ribosomal RNA", at positions 524 to 776 of the family's 1533-position model. The record is from RNAcentral.
UACGGAGGGUGCAAGCGUUAUCCGGAUUUACUGGGUUUAAAGGGUGUGUAGGCGGGCUAUUAAGUCAGUGGUGAAAUCUCCGGGCUCAACUUGGAAACUGCCAUUGAUACUAUUAGUCUUGAAUUCUGUUGAGGUGGGCGGAAUAAAUCAUGUAGCGGUGAAAUGCAUAGAUAUGAUUUAGAACACCGAUUGCGAAGGCAGCUCACUAAACAGAGAUUGACGCUGAGGCACGAAAGCGUGGGGAUCAAACAGG